CAGCCUUUGGUGCAGCUGUAAGUCGGAUGGAAUCCACCUUCCUGACGUCAGACCCACCCACUGGAACACUGCUCCUCUGACUGGGGCUUCCCUGAAUGGAAACUACAUGUCAUACUGCAAAAACAACUUCUGAAAGAGAAAAAAGUCUUUGUCUCAGUUUCUGCUCUCCAGAGGUAACCCAAAGAGGUAAGGAACCCAGUGAGAAAGACAGAGAGAAGUAUGGACAAGAAACAGAUCCUAAACCUGUUUUGUUUUAUUUUUGGUAGUAGUUGUUUAUUUUUGAAAACAUUCAAACCACCUGUAUUGGUGGCUGUUAUUAUGAAAUAAAUAAACUGAGAAACAACA
Molecule: long non-coding RNA, 345 nt
Filed under: Pan troglodytes (chimpanzee)
Lineage: Eukaryota; Metazoa; Chordata; Mammalia; Primates; Hominidae
Description: lincRNA
Source: RNAcentral